This 719-nucleotide ribosomal RNA is filed under the name uncultured bacterium. Its description in RNAcentral is "bacterial SSU rRNA". It matches the Rfam family "Bacterial small subunit ribosomal RNA", at positions 104 to 810 of the family's 1533-position model. The record is from RNAcentral.
GGGUGAGUAACACGUGGGCAACCUGCCCAAAAGAGGGGGAUACACUUUGGAAACAGAUGCUAAUACCGCAUAACAACAAAAGCCACAUGGCUUUUGCUUGAAAGAUGGCUUUGGCUAUCACUCUGGGAUGGACCUGCGGUGCAUUAGCUAGUUGGUAAGGUAAUGGCUUACCAAGGCGAUGAUGCAUAGCCGAGUUGAGAGACUGAUCGGCCACAAUGGAACUGAGACACGGUCCAUACUCCUACGGGAGGCAGCAGUAGGGAAUCUUCCACAAUGGCGCAAGCCUGAUGGAGCAACACCGCGUGAGUGAAGAAGGGUUUCGGCUCGUAAAGCUCUGUUGUUGGAGAAGAACGUGCGUGAGAGUAACCGUUCACGCAGUGACGGUAUCCAACCAGAAAGUCACGGCUAACUACGUGCCAGCAGCCGCGGUAAUACGUAGGUGGCAAGCGUUAUCCGGAUUUAUUGGGCGUAAAGCGAGCGCAGGCGGUUGCUUAGGUCUGAUGUGAAAGCCUUCGGCUUAACCGAAGAAGUGCAUCGGAAACCGGGCAACUUGAGUGCAGAAGAGGACAGUGGAACUCCAUGUGUAGCGGUGGAAUGCGUAGAUAUAUGGAAGAACACCAGUGGCGAAGGCGGCUGUCUGGUCUGCAACUGACGCUGAGGCUCGAAAGCAUGGGUAGCGAACAGGAUUAGAUACCCUGGUAGUCCAUGCCGUAAACGAU